CCCAGACUCCUACGGGAGGCAGCAGUGAGGAAUAUUGGUCAAUGGGCGAGAGCCUGAACCAGCCAAGUCGCGUGAGGGAGUACUGCCCUAUGGGUUGUAAACCUCUUUUGUCGGGGAGCAAAAGCCGGACGUGUCCGUCUGUGAGAGUACCCGAAGAAAAAGCAUCGGCUAACUCCGUGCCAGCAGCCGCGGUAAUACGGAGGAUGCGAGCGUUAUCCGGAUUUAUUGGGUUUAAAGGGUGCGCAGGCGGAUUUUUAAGUCAGCGGUCAAAUCGUGGGGCUCAACCCCAUCCAGCCGUUGAAACUGGGGAUCUAGAGUGUGCGAGAGGUAUGCGGAAUGCGCGGUGUAGCGGUGAAAUGCAUAGAUAUCACGCAGAACUCCGAUUGCGAAGGCAGCAUACCGGCGCUCAACUGACGCUCAGGCACGAAAGUGUGGGUAUCGAACAGGAUUAGAUACCCGGGUAA
RNAcentral lists this ribosomal RNA (464 nucleotides) under uncultured bacterium. Its description in RNAcentral is "bacterial SSU rRNA". It matches the Rfam family "Bacterial small subunit ribosomal RNA", at positions 330 to 793 of the family's 1533-position model. The record is from RNAcentral.